GACACCUGUGGUCAGCCAAGGAAAAAAGUUCUGUGAGCAGCCGGAUUGGAACUGAACCCAGACACUGGACCCUUCUGCACAGGUUGAAAUGACUGUGGCUGGAAUAGUUAAGAAUUGCAAGCCAAAUCUUGCCAGUCCAUGCUUUGAAGUGACCCCAAUACCUCUAGCUGUCAAAGGGCAGUCAAAUGACUUCAAGAACCUGUCUUUGAGAAUGCAAAAUACUCUUUCACGAAUAAAACAGUUCAGACCUACCAGGAGGACAAAAUAAAGUCUCUAAAGAUUUCGUACAAUGAACAUGUGAAAGACAUUGUUUCAUCUCCAUGUAGCAAUACAGAAAGUACUGGGUACGCGGGAACUCUCUUUUAUAGCCAGUAUAAAAUGUCAGGAAAAAAUACAACAGUCUGAAACAUAUUUGAAAGAUAACUUUUCAAACCGUGUGUUCACUGUCAAAGAGAAAUCUGAGUACUACGAGCAAAUGCCAAGUGAUUCAUACCAUAGCUGGAUCACAGGGAUAUGUGUCCUCCCUGGACAGGUCCUGGUUGUAGAUCGGGAACAUAAAAAAGUCAUUCUGCUGGACCAGCAGUGCCAGGUGAGUCACUGUGGUGUGUCUGAUUAUCCAAUGGGCAUGUGUGAGAUCACAUCCAGUGAGGUGGCAGUGACUGUGAAUCGUUGUGUCCAGUUUAUCACAGUCACCCAGAGCCAGCUGGUGACAGGAAGAAAGCUUCAGUUUCAACAUAGAUGUUACGGUAUUGCCAUUCACAAAGGUGACCUGUUCAUUUGCUCGGGGAAUGCACUGUUCAAAGUACUCAUUGAGUGGAAAAAUGAUCCAUCAACUGUAUGAGGAUAGAUCCGGUGCUGUUUACGUACGUGAGUGUGCUGUGAGUCCCACGGAGGACAAGCUGCACAUUAUCAACUGGUACAAGCUGCAGUACGUGAGUGUGCUGUGAGUCCCACGGGGGGCAAGCUGCACAUUAUCAACUGGUACAAGCUCCUCACUGUGAGUCUCAUGGGGGACAAGCUGCACAUUAUCAACUGGUACAAGCCCCUCACUCUGGCCAGGGAUUGACAGUGAGGGGAGAAUUAAGCUGGCCACUCUAGCCACUGAAAGGGAUGGAGUGUGGUUUCCAUACUCAGUCUGCUACAGCAGCACCACAUCGCCCAUAAUUGUAGGGCAGCUGGGGAAAAAUAUAAUCCUUGUGUUCAGAGUGGAAUAGUGUGAACAUGCAUGAAAUGGUUGUUGUAAUCUGUGAUUAACAUUACCAUUUUAAUUUAGUGUUUUGUAUUAGAAUGUCUUUUGUGAUGAAUUACAAACUGAACAUGUUGGAAUGAUUUCAGAUACUUUUUUGUUUUUAGCUCACCUGAGCACAACGUGCUCAUGGUGAGCUUUUGUGAUCGCCUUUUGUCCGUCGUGCAUUGUCGGUUGUGCGUUGUGCCGCGUCAAGAUUUGCCUUGUUAACUCUCUAGAGGCCACAUUUAUUGUCCAAUCUUCAUGAAAUUCGGUCAGAAGAUUGGUCUCAAUGAUAUCUUGGACGAGUUUGAAAAUGGUUACAUUUGCUUGAAAAACAUGGCUGCCAAGGGGCGGGGCAUUUUUUUCUUAUAUGGCAAUAUAUGGCUAUAGUAAAAUCUUGUUAACACUCUAAAGGCCACAUUUAUUGUCUGAUCUUCAUGAAACUUGGUCAGAAGAUUCAUCCCAACAAUAUCUUGGACAAGUUCGAAAAUGAUGCCGGUUGGUUGAAAAACAUGGCCGCCAGGGGGCGGGGCAUUUUUCUUAUAUGGCUAUAGUAAAACCUUGUGUAAACUCUAGAGGCCACUUUUAUUUUCCGAUCUUCAUGAAACUUUCUCAGAAGAUUUGUCCCAAUGAUAUCUUUAAAGAAUUAAAAAACGGUAACCUUUGCUUGAAAAACAUGGCUGCCAAGGGGUGGGGCAUUUUUCCUUAUAUGGCUAUAUAUGGCUAUUGUAAAACCUUGUUAACACUCUAGAGGCGACAUUUAUUUUCCAAUCUUUAUGAAUUAUGGUCAGAAGAUUUGUCUUAUUGAUAUCUUGGAUGAUUCAGGAAAUGGUUACGUUUGCUUGAAAAACAUGGCUGCCAAGGGGCGGGGCAUUUUUCCUUAUAUGGCUAUAGUAAAAUCUUGUUAACAUUUUAGAGGCCACAUUUAUAGUCUGAUCUUUAUGAAACUAGGUCAGAAGAUUCAUCCCAAUAAUAUCUUGGAUGAUGCCGGUUGGUUGCAAAACAUGGCAAACACGGGGUGGGGCAUUUUUCCUUAUAUGGCUAUAGUAAAACCUUGUUAACACUCUAGAGGUCACAUUUAUUUUCCGAUAAUCAUGAAACUUGGUCAAAAGAUUUAUCCCAAUGAUAUCUUGGAUGAGUUCGAAAAUGGUUUUGGUUGCUUAAAAACAUGGCCACCUGCGGCAGGGCAUUUUUCCUUAUAUGGCUACAUAUGGCUAUAGUUAAAACUUGUUAACACUCUGGAGGCCACAUUUAUUUUCCAAUCUUCACAAAAUUUGGUAAGAAGAUUGGUCUCAAUGAUAUCUUGGACGAGUUCGAAAAUAAAUAUGUUUGCUUGAAAAAAAUGGCUUCCAAGGGGCGGGGCAGUUUUUCCUUAUAUGGCUUUAGUAAAAUCUUGUUAACACUCUAGUUUUGUUUUUUGUCUCUAAAAUAUACAAAAUCUUGGUGUAAAUGGUUUGUUUUGUUGAAUCUAAUUUUUUUUAACUAAAUCUAAUGACUUUAUAGUUCUUUCCCAAUAAUAUGACCAAUCUCCAAGCAUCGACUAAUAUAACAACUUCCUUUGAACUGAUAUAAAAAUAUAUAUCAAGCAACAUUAUAUCAGACAGAUAUCAAUGCAGGGUAUGAUAAAAUCAAUUAUUUGUUUUUACCCUUACUUGUUACAUUUCAGUUUUCAAAACAUGGAUGAGUUCGAAAAUGGUUUUGGUUGCUUAAAAACAUGGCCACCUGCGGCAGGGCAUUUUUCCUUAUAUGGCUACAUAUGGCUAUAGUUAAAACUUGUUAACACUCUGGAGGCCACAUUUAUUUUCCAAUCUUCACAAAAUUUGGUCAGAAGAUUGGUCUCAAUGAUAUCUUGGAUGAGUUUGAAAAUUAUUAUGUUUGCUUGAAAAACAUUGCUUCCAAGAGGCAGGGCAUUUUUCCUUAUAUGGCUAUAGUAAAAUCUUGUUAACACUCUUGAGGCCUUAUUUUCUGUCCGAUCUUCAUGAAACUUGGUCAUCCUGAUAAUAUCUUGGAAGAGUUUAAAAUUGAUGCCGGUUUGUUGAAAAGUAUGACUGCCAGGGAGCUGGGUAUUUUUCCUCAUAUGGCUAUAGUCAAACCUUGUUUACACUCUAGUGGCCACAUUUAUUUUCCGAUCUUCAUGAAACUUGGUCAGAACAUUUGUCCCAAUAAUAUCUUGUUAUCUCAGGUGAGCGACUUUGGGCCUUUUAGGCCCUCUUGUUUACUCAUACUUUUAUUUGAAUGUAAUAUUAAAGUGUUUAUAAAACAUCGUGAACUAAUAAACAGUGCGUAAGUUGUAACUUUCAUGGAAAUUACUUUUGUAUUUGAUAGUUAAGUGGCAAGUUAUCAUGCACUCAAGAGUGUGUCAAGGGACAAAAACAAUUUUAAUUUCAAAGGUUAUGUUUGUUCAAUAUACAUUUUACAUUAACUAAUGCUAUUUUUAGGUGGCCAUUACUACAUACAUGUUAGGAAAUAAUAUCGAUCAAUCGCAAAACUUGAUGUUAUAUAAGUACUUUUUUUAUUAAUAAAGAUGUUUUAUUAUCUUAUUUAAAAAGACUUUGAUACAAGAUCAAAGUUAGAUUGACUGAAAGGAUAGAAAAUAAUGUAAAUUUAUAUGAUGUUAAAGGCUGAUGGUGGCUAAGAAUUGUCCAUUUUUAAGUUGAUUAUUAUGCUUGAAGUUUUAUUGAUCAGAAUUUACUAAAUCAGACAAUUUAUAAUGUAUGCAUUCUGAUUGAGGCAUUCACAUAUUUUAACAAUAUUUGUGCUUGGUUCUGAAACACAAAUAACAGAUUAAUUUUAGUUUGUCUUUUGCUAAAGAAAAAUACCUGUACUUACUUUUUAUGUUCCCCGAAAAUUUUCGGGGAGCAUAUAGUUGCCAAUUUUUCCUUUCUUACUUCCUUCUUCACACUUUUGUUACAGUUUCUCAUGGCGCCUUCAAUAUUUUACCGAUUUCUUACAUAUUUGGCAUGUAGGUACCUUGCAUGGACCUCUACCUUUUGAUGAGGUUUUAAAUUACAGUGGGAUCAAGGUCAAGUUCACCGAGGCUAAUGAUAGAUUUUCUCAAUGUCAAACAAGGUGAGCAUUUAUCGUUUUUAACGAUGCUUGUUUUGGGUCAGUUUUCAUCCACAAAGCGUUCAUUACCACAUAACUGUAUUAUUCAUUUAUAGUAUUGCCUCAUAUGCUACACAAUUGUGAUAUGGCAUGAGAAGAUGACUGGUAAUAUAUACAUGUUUGUUUAACCCAGUAUGGGAUGUAUUCAGUUUUAUGUUCCUUAUUAGCUUGUCAUUAUUUAUUUGCUUUGUUGAUGUGCACUUUAUAUUGUACAUUAAAUACCGGGGAAUAAGCGAAAAAAUGGACAACAAAUAAGCCCACUGUUGAAAAUAAAUCUAUUGAACAUAAUCCAUAUUCAUAUUUCAUUGUGCCUUUAAUAUGUCUUUUAGGAGUUUAAAAAGUAACACAUCUGGUGAAUUUUCUGUGAAUCUGACAUUUACGAAAAAUUUGGUAUGUAGCAAAUGCAUAGUACAGCUGUUCCCAUUUGCGGAGCAUUCUAAGGAUGUGAAUCCAACUAUAAUUAUUAAUAAAUCAACGUGACACCUUUCUCCGUUUAGACUUGAAUAUUUGCUAUUGCCGCCAAGGUCUUCACUUGAUUUGGCUUCAUAUCUUGGAUAUUGAUUACCGGUUUAAAUUAUAAAUGUGUUAUCAAAUUAAUUACUGUAAAGAUUGUUUCACUGAAAUACUCUUUACAUACUUUUAUUUGAUUUAAAUGCAGAUAUAUUAAGUUGUAUUGAUCUUUAAAAGACAGUGUCAGUUUAGUCAAUUGUCCGAGUUUUUUAUAAUUAUCUACAGCUCUGUUCGAAUGAAAUUGAGGAACACACUAUUAUAUGCAGACAUAAAGGCCAUCACCUCUGCCUAAAACAUGCUCAAGUUUUGCCCCUAUGCUGUCCUGUCUGAUGGGAGCGACUACCUUUCUUAAGCUCACAUCAACCUCCAAAAUUCUGCACACAUAACAACUGUUUUAAUUAGAACCUGGGCAUCAUACAAAUACCUGUAGAACAUGUAAUAUUUAAUCAAAACAAGAAAUAUUUAAUGUUUAGUCAUAUGAGAAAAGACAAUGUCAGAUUGAACUAGGUCAAAAAAGGGAUUGUGUUGUUAACUCACCUAAGCAUGAAGUGCUCCUUGUGAGCUAUUGUGGUCACCCUAUUUCUGGUGUGGCCUGUGGUAAACUGUGGCCUCUGGGUCAUGUGUGUCCAAAAACUAGGCCACCAUGUCAAAUUGUAGGAAAACCUUGUUAUCACUCUAGAGGCGAAAUUUAUUAUUCAAUCUUGAUGAAACUUGGUCAGAAAGUUUAUAUGGACAAUAUAUAGGAAGAGUUUGAAUAUGGGUCAUGUGUAUUUAAAAACAAGGAAAACAGGUCAAAUCUUAGGAAAAUCUUGUUUUCACUCUGGAGGCCUUAAUUAUUUAUAAUUUCAUCUUGAUCAGUAUGUUUAUCUUUACGUUAUCUAGGCUUAGUUGGAAUCUGGUAAACAUCAUCCAAAAACUAAAUCACAAGGUAAAAUCUUAGUUAAAACUUGUUAUCCAUCUAAAGGCCCCAUUUAUGACUCAAUCUUGAUGCAUUUUGGUCAGAAUGUCUAUCUUGACCGUGUCUAGUCAAUCUUGAUGCAUUUUGGUCAGAAUGUCUAUCUUGACCAUGUCUAGGCUAAGUUUGAAUCUUUGUCAAUUGAAUAUAAAAUCUGGGUCUUUAAACCCGUCUGUAGAUCUGCCGUGGAAUCAUAUGGAAUUCUAUGGAAAUCGUUAGAUGGAAUUCCGUGGAGUAUUGGCACUAACUUUCCAUCCGAUUCCAUGCAAUCAAUGGAAAAGUGAAAAAAAAACAAGGGAGGGACUUGAUAUGGGAUGGAAUUCCAUAAAAUGCCGUGGAAUUCCAUAGAAUUUCGUGGCAUUCCAUAUAAUGCCGUGGAAUUCCAUAGAAUGCCGUGGAAUUCCAUAGAAUGCCGUGGAAUUCCAUAGAAUGCCGUGGAAUUCCAUAGAACGCCGUGGAAUUCCAUAGAACGCCAUGGAAUUCCAUAGAAUGCUGUGGAAUUCCAUAGAAUGCCGUGGAAUUCCAUAGAAUUAUAUGGAAUUCCGUGAAAAGCUAUGGAAUUUAAUAAAAAGCUGGAAUAAAAUAGAAAAAAACAGAUUAAAGAUCAAAGGCAUUUCAUUGAUUUUGAUAAACAAAUGUGAAUGUAACUAAAGGUUUCAUCAUAGAAGUUAAACAAGAACAAGAUCUGGCAUCAAUCAUUAACCACACACAUGCAGUCACAGUACAUAUUCAAAAAUGAGUGGUUUUACAUUUUCAUAAAGUACCAACUCUCUUAACCACAGGCAUGCAUGCACACAUUCAAAAACACAUCCAUAAACAUGCACGCAUAUACAGGUGAGAAAAGAAAAACUUAUAAAAGGCACAAUAUAAAACAUAGAAGUAGAAUUUUACAUUUCUCUUAUGACAAGUAUACUUCCUUUCUCACAUAUGUUCAUAAACACACACAAUUACAUGCACUGUCACACAUCACGCACAAUUGUUCUAGA
This is a long non-coding RNA of Dreissena polymorpha, 6784 nucleotides long. RefSeq lists it as uncharacterized. The record is from RefSeq and is a predicted model, not a curated record. Lineage: Eukaryota; Metazoa; Mollusca; Bivalvia; Myida; Dreissenidae. The transcript is spliced from 3 exons.